GUUGCCUCGGCCUUUGGCCUUGUCAGGUUACACUGAGAAGACAGCUAUCUAUGAAUCAGGAAGCAGAGCUUCACCAGGGAUUUGGCGAAGUGGAAGAGAAGGCUUAAAGUUCUAUUUUCAGAUAAAAUGAGCACGAAGAAGAGAAAACAGAAAACAUCCAUUGAAUCCUCUGCCUCUGGUAAUGUAUGGCUCCCAGUAUGCCUCCUUCAAGAGCAUGACUGACCCAAUUACUAGUAUGAGCAAAAGGUAUCUAAAGUAAAUGGCCUUAUGUAUAAUCCUGAAUUAUAAAUGGCUGAAGAGGAACAGCCCCAGUCUGCAGCGCCCAGGGAGACCAACGCAGAAGGCAGAAAGUUUCAGAAAGGUGAUGAAAUUUAAGCUGGGCUUUAAAGGCUACAUCAAAUUUGACAAAUGGAAUUGUGAGGAAAGCACAUUAGAAGUAAAGAGUGAACCCACAAAAACAAGAGAACAUCAUGUUUCUAGAGGCUGCCUGCAUUCCUUGGCUAAUGACUUUGCAUCACUCUGACGUCUUGCUCCCAUGGUCGUAUCACCUACUACUGGCCCUGAUCUCACUACUUGUUAUAUGGAACAAAGGGAUAAGGAAGUGACUUGCCUAAGUCACUGAGGAACCUAAUAUUGAGAUUAGCACUCAAUGAUUCCUGGCUCUCAGAAUGUGUGCUGCUACCACCAGGCCACACUCUUCCCUCCAGAGAGAAGAUGUGUCAGCACGGAAUUGUGCUGAAGCAAAGAUGUGAAAUAGAAUGAUUACAUAUCUACCUAGUGGGAAGAUCUGGGGAAGAAUCUAUCAGUGCUGGCAGAGAAGCAAACCAUACGACAUCACUCAUCCCCAGAAAGUGAAGUUAAGGGAAAUAAAAAACAAUCUACACCAUUUAGAAAACACAGCCACCCCAUACCCUUGGAAAAAAUACACUAAAAUAUCUUCAUCUGAUUUGACCUCUAAUAACAUGAAUAAUUGUCUUAUAACUCACUUUCUUACCUCUUGAUUAUUCUACAGAUCCGGCACAUAUGAGCAAAAUCUGAUGAAAUUCACUCAUUUAAUUUGAAGAUUUUAAUUAUGUAGAAAAAG
RNAcentral lists this long non-coding RNA (1084 nucleotides) under Homo sapiens (human). RNAcentral describes it as "HSALNT0376128". Lineage: Eukaryota; Metazoa; Chordata; Mammalia; Primates; Hominidae. The record is from RNAcentral.